This is a long non-coding RNA of Oxyura jamaicensis (ruddy duck), 1138 nucleotides long. RefSeq lists it as uncharacterized. NCBI's taxonomy places the organism in Eukaryota, Metazoa, Chordata, Aves, Anseriformes, Anatidae. The transcript is spliced from 3 exons. The record is from RefSeq and is a predicted model, not a curated record.
CUUGAGCCGUGCUCCAAAGCCCGGGUUGCAAAGCGGGGAAAAAUUGCGGGUCCCCACCCCUCCUUGGAGUAGUUUGGAGGCUCUCUGGGCUGCUUUCUCGGCGAACACUGCUCUCUUGUUCUUAGAAUCACUUUGCCAUCUUGUGGCUCUCGGGAAGGAGGGGCCUCACCCUGCGCUCACCCCCAUUAAUCACCCGGACAGCCCUCGCUUGGCGAGGCCUCUCACCCUUUUCAUCUCCCGGUUUGUAUGCAGCCGCCCGCCCGCUCCAGCCCCGCACAAUGCCGCCUCCUCCCCGCAGCAUCUCCUCCCCACGCCUGCAUCCCGCUCCCGAGCACCCAGGAGCAUCCGCAUCCUGCAUCCCCCAUCCCACAACUCCCAUCCCACAUCCCUCAUCCCACAUCCUGCAUCUCUCAUCCCUCGUCCCACAUCCCUCAUCCCACAUCCACAUCUCUCAUCCCUCAUCCCGUAUCCCACGUCCCUCAUCCCGUAUCCGUAUCCUGCACCUGCAUCCUGCAUCCUGCACAGGGACAAGGACACCGCUUCCAAAUCUAUUUUAUUCCCCCCCCCUCCUCAUGGCCUCCGAGAUGAUUUGCCCGGCGUUGCAGUGACCUGGUUAUUAUUCCAUCGGGGGAGGACUUCACCCUCUUGGGUGCCAAACUUCGGGGUGCAAGCGGGUGGCUGGCACCACGCUCAGAAACAGAGAUGGCCCAGUCCCCUUCCAGGAACCUGGUGCAAGCAAGAGCAACCACUGCAAGGGUGAAAAAUGAGGAGAGAAAGUGCAAAUCCCGUCCAAUUGCAGAUUCGGUGCAUUUUUCUCUCCUUUAGGAGAUGAGCAUUCAUCUCCCGUGCGUGUCGGAGUACGGAUGAGGGCUAAAUGCUACCAGACGUGUGUGCACAUGCCCUGGCGUGGUGCAGAGAUUGAAUUAAGAUUGGGGGACUUUAUCAGCGGAUUGCGCUGGGUGAAGGGUUAGGCGCGGAUUUCAUUUGUUGGACGAUGGAAGGACGGAGGCCUCCACCCCACCGAGCCGAAAAGGGAAAACCGACCCCAAAACCAACACCACCAACACCACCAAAACCCGCCUAUUACCGUGUAAUCAAAUCGCCUUUGAGACGCUUUUCGGAAUAAAGCAAGAUGGAU